Molecule: long non-coding RNA, 401 nt
Organism: Hemicordylus capensis (graceful crag lizard)
Lineage: Eukaryota; Metazoa; Chordata; Lepidosauria; Squamata; Cordylidae
Exons: 3
Source: RefSeq, a predicted model, not a curated record
GGAAGGAAGGUCUUGUAAGAGGACUUCUCAGUCUCUUCCUCCUCACACAAGCUCUCUGCAGAUUUCAGAAAGCCUCUCUUGAGAGUUGGGACCCCUCUGGAGUUGAAAAGCAUGAGGAAUGAGGAGGGGCUGCUGGGGACAGGAUGGGCUCGUGAAAACCGCCCUCCCCUUUGGAUGAACAGAAGAGUCUUGUAUGCUUUCAGGAUACAACUCAAAGGUUUUGGAGAGAAACAGGUUCUGUGACUCGUUUUGGCUAAUUGGCAAAACAUUAUUCAGAAAAGUUAUCUAUAUUAUAUGUUGGAGGUGGAAACUGAAGGAAGGAUUUCAGACAGACCGAAUCCUGAUUUACAAAGGAGUUCAGAAAGCCCAAACCCUUUAAUCAUUGCAGGCAAUGUUUGAAA